UGUAAGCGUAUACCAAAGUUGUUGCAGUUAAAACGCUCGUAGUCGGAAUUUGGCAGUUCCGGAUGUGUGCACGUCGUGUGCGCACUUCGCGGGGAUUGCUUUUGUGGUCUUGCGUAGGAUGAGGCACUUUUAUUAGUGAACGUCCUCACGCAACCACUUUUUACUGUGAGAAAAUCAGAGUGCUCAAAGCAGGCAUUUGCCGUGAAUGUAUUAGCAUGGAAUAAUAGAAUGGGACUCGGUUCUAUUUUGUUGGUUUGUUGGGACUGAGUAAUGAUUAAGAGGGACAGUUGGGGGCAUUUGUAUUUCGGCGCUAGAGGUGAAAUUCUUAGAUUGCCGAAAGACAAACUGCUGCGAAAGCGUCUGCCAAGGAUGUUUUCAUUGA
This 382-nucleotide ribosomal RNA is filed under the name uncultured eukaryote. Its description in RNAcentral is "partial 18S ribosomal RNA". It matches the Rfam family "Eukaryotic small subunit ribosomal RNA", at positions 592 to 976 of the family's 1831-position model. The record is from RNAcentral.